This 396-nucleotide long non-coding RNA is filed under the name Mytilus galloprovincialis (Mediterranean mussel). Lineage: Eukaryota; Metazoa; Mollusca; Bivalvia; Mytilida; Mytilidae. The record is from RNAcentral.
AUUUAUUAAACAAGAUAAACUCAACUGUCCGUUGUUAUGAAAGGUUUGAGCGCUUUUAUACAUAUGUAAUCCCGUCACAUGGUGUAUGUGCACGAACCAUGUAAGUAGCUGAUAAUUCAGAAGUUGUGGGUGGAAGCUACCUGCCAUUUUUGUCAAUCUAAGCGUCGAAAACAACUCGCAACUUUAGGGUUUUAGACUCAUAAUGUUUGUAAUCCUAGUCAAUAAGUGUUGAAAACAACUAAUGGGUUUAAGACUCAUAAUGUAUGCAAUCUCAGUCAAUAAGUGUCGAAAACACCACUAGUGGGUUUAAAAGUAUAAUCACAAAAAUACUCAACUCCGAGGAAUAUUUAAAACGGAAAGUCACUAAUUAAAUUGCAAAAUCAAACAAUAAAACAC